AACCAUGAAGUGAUGUUUGGGCAGACAUAACCCACUUCCCUAAGGGCUUCCUCCAAAUGAUGACUUUUCAGUAUGUCUCUCCCCGUUGAUUUCCUAUCACUCCAUCAUCAGAAUGUAUAACGUCCCCAGGUAGCCCCGGCUGAGGCAAAAACAUAGACGGGUAUCUUAACAGGACCUUGUCGAGCAGCCGCACGGCCAGUCUGGAAUUCAAAAUUAUGCGUGAAUCGUUUGCAAAGCAUGUGAGCCAUGUGCCGAUCAUUGAGGACUGACUAUUCUGAGAGAUGCUGGGCUGAGGUUCGCCCGACAGCCUUGCAGUAACAAGAAAAGGCUCAUAGAAGCGUGUCCUCAAUCCUUGGCAUCAAAGCACGGCUAAGGCCACAGCGCUGCAAGUUCAUGCUUGGAGUCUGGGUAUUCUUCACACGGGGCAAACAAGGUCUCUUGCAGAGGGAAAUGUGAACCCCUUCACGCGGGGCAGGAUGAUCCGCACACACCCAGAGAUACCUAGAGCUGUCAUCCAGUGCUGAGCUUUCCCACUCGGGUGCAAACCGCAGAGUUCCCCGGGGUCAAACCUGCUAUUUUUAACUAAGAAGACAAAGAAAUCAGGGCAUGGCUCAUCGGCAGCUGGGUUAAUAAAUUCUAGGAACCUAAGCUGGCUUCUAUGACUUGAUCAAAAAGCCUGGCAUUAUGAGCAAGAGGGCUGAUAGCAACAAGCCUUCUCAGAAUGGGCUCAUCCAAGGGCCCGCUUCGCCCUUUGAUCCAGAAGCUCUCCAGCAGUUUCCAGCCACCGAGGGGACCUGCCAAUCAGAGGUAACCCCACCUGCAUGCUUUAGAGGAAAAUUUACAAACUGAAGUUCACCUGACCUAACGACAGGGAUGCUUGGUUUUCCUGGAGCAACUAAUGAAUGGUGGGCAUUGGCAUUUCGAACCAAGAAAAGAAAGGACAUCUUAGGCCAGAAGUAGCCGCCAUGUGGGAAACCAAAUCGGGUUGUGAGAAGAGUCCCAUUUCCUGCUCAUAACUAAGACUACAGCCUGACCCUCCAGAGCUGCUCAUCUUCAGGGGAUUUCACGGGUCCUUGGCCAGAGACCAACCUGGAUCAGAAGAGGAAACCCCCUGGGCCCUGCUUUUACAGAAACAGCUUUAGUCAUCGGGCUUUGCUUAUUGAAAGAGUAUCCUUUCUUGUCCUGGAGCCAAGGUAAAAGAAUAUGCUGCCAGGUUAUCUGAGAGGCCCACAGGGAGAUGCCAGUGAGACAAGCCCUAUGGUCCCAUACUACCUUCUCUCAUGGGGACGGCCAAGAAGACGCCAUCUUCGCCACACUCCCCAGUGCCUACUGUCUGCAAGAGGUGUGACAGCAAUGCACCCAGAACUCAGUAGCCACUUGUUUCCUUUUUCCCUGGGAAGGCCGAGGACAUCUGGCAUUAGCACCUUGGAAUUCUGAGCUGGAAAAUGGUGACAAGAAGAGUGAGGGCGGAAGGUCAUUUUGAACGCUAAAUGUCACCCAGCACUAUGGGGUCCUGCAGGAUGUUGCCGAGGUGUUUUCUGUUUCUCCUUCUCAGUUCUUUAUGGAAUUCUCCCGGCUUCUGUGUGCAGAGAGCCCUGCUAACUGACAGGAAGCCGAGUGUGAGAUUUCGUCACCAUUAAGAGUGGGGACAGAGCAGUGGCAAUGGGAUCACACGAUCCCACUCACCCCAGGUCAAGGCCAUCAUUACUCAUCAUGAUAGGUUACAGGGGCAAGUUUACCCAGCUCACAGACCACUGUUGCUCCCUCUUUGUUUCUCAGCCAGAAAAGUACAGCAAGUUCAGCUACCCCCACUGGCCACUGGACAAAUGCCCAGUUGCUCCCUGGGGAAACCUCACGGCAACCAUGUCACAGUGGACUCCGCCCGCCCAUGUCUUCACAGCUGCUUCACUGUCCAUUCUUUCUCCACUGCAUUUCUUGAAUAAGCCCUUUUCUUUGAUCCAUGCUGCUGCAUCAUCUUUGGAGAAGUUCUCAUCUUUUCUCUGCCAGACUUUGGUUCUGUCUUCCUGCUUAAUUUCCCGAUACCAGCAUCUACCCACUGUGUUCCAUUUUACACGUGGCUCUCAGCUGAGUCUUCCUGAUGCGUGCCUCUCGGAUCACGUCUCUUCUGUCCACAAGCUCUUGGUGAUACUUUGGGGCCCACUGCUCACAGCCCAACACAGCGAUCCUGCAUGGCUUACCCACCAAAGUCCAAAGAACUCCCAAAGAUGAAACUGUCCAGUGAACCUGUGAAACUGUCACACGCUACCUUAUGAACAAAGAAAUGAGACCCACGACGUUGCUCAAACUCCAGCAGCCCAGGUACCAGUGGUGAAUUUCACGUGUCCUGUCCAAACGGGUUUCUCUACGCAGCCUCCUUGUCACAAUCCAAAAGUCCUUUCCCGUGUCUAACCUGAGUGAUCCCUUGAGCUCUUGAAUUCCACGAUCUUUAACUCUUCCUGGUUUGAAGAGUGAGUUCCCCUCUCAGAAAUGAGACUAGCAAAGUAAAAAAGAAACCAGCGACUCCUAAGACAAAGACCAAAGAAGGCCCACAGCUUUAGCGGAGAAGGGCCAGAACAGAGAGGCAGGUUAAUGGGUGUUUGUGACUCCAGUAUGCUCAGUGCCCCACAUCUCAGGACCUUAACCGCCCACAGACAAGUCUCUUGAUUUUGAUGGGGAAUCUCUCUGCGGCUCUUAUGCUUCAGUUGCUCAAAACACAAGUGUUUAUUAUGCAUCCGCACAAUUAGACCAUCAUGAUAAGCCCUGAUGAUAGCGGUGGUGUAAGGCACUGCUGGAGUAAAGACCCUUGGGGCAUCAGCACAAUGCAUAGAGACUGUGGAAAGCAACUUGGAGAAUAAAACGUGGAAAAUGUACCCAUCUUUCCAGCCCUGCCACUUCCUCCCACUUCUGGGGCGGAGUGCAACAGUGCUGAAAAGUGGACAUUCACUCUUCACGGGGGAAGAGGGUGGAACACACCCUAUCACACACAACUCUGAGGGUCCCAAUUCUCCAGAGUUGCUUGUCAUGUGUAAAAAAUGAACACAGAGGAUCUUACUGCUUUGUGAGGCCUGUGACAGUCCACAAUGCAGUUAGGAGGUUCUUCUUAAGAUCUAACCUGCAUUUCUAUUGCUGUUUUUGUUUGACCAUAGAUUGCUCGAGCCUCUUUGCCAACAGAGAAAUACUCAUAGCCCUUCCCAGCUGGCCAUUUGAUUCAGUUGUAACAGAGCUGUUCCAAAAUCCAUGGUAAAGGAGUUCCCGUUGUGGUGCAGUGGAAACAAAUCCGACUAGGAACCAUCAGGUUGCGAGUUCCAUCCCUGGCUUCACUUAUUGGGUUAAGGAUCCGGUGUUGCUGCAAGCUGUAGUGUGUAGGCCACAGUUAUGGCUCUGAUCUGGCACUGCUGUGGCUGUGGCAUACUUCAGCAGCUGUAGCUCAGAUAAGACCCCUAGCCUGGGAAUCUGCAUAUGCCACAGGUGCAGUCCUAAAAAGAAAAAAUAAAGUGAAAUCCAUGGUAAAAUGUCUGUCCCUGAAAAGGGCCAUUGAGCUUUGCUGCAUAAGAGAGCUAUGGACCAUACCUCUUAAGCUAGAUAUCCUGGCCAUACAUGUGUGAAUGCAGAUGAUCUCAUGACCACUGCUUCUUUUCUACUUUAAAAAAAAAAAAAAGACUUGUGCCUGCACUUCAACCUGACAGAAGAGAGCUGAAGUGUCAGCCAGACACCCAGAACUAACCUUUGUCCCCUCAUUAGGGCAGGACGCUAGGCCAGAGCUGGGUGGGAGCCAGAGCCCAGCCCUGUGCUUUAGCCUGAGGCCAUUAUCCCCAUCUUGAAGGCAAGAAGGCGGAGGCAAGAGCAGAGCCCCAUCCAGCAGGUGCUGGGAAUUAGCAGGGUAAGUGGCUUAACAUUCCCAACCUUGGUUUGUUUCCUCACUUGAAAAAGGGGGAUAAGAGAUGACAUAUCUCACAGGAUUGCUGAGAAGAUUCCAUUCAACAGGAUAAAGUGGGUAAUGCAAGGCCUGGCACCUAAAGAGUGACCAUUUCACUGCACCUCUUGUGCAAUGACAUUGGUAGAGCCACCUCUGGGGGCAAAGGAGCAAAGAGAGAGUGUGGGAAGGAGAGCUCCGGAAGCGACCCAGGCCCCGUCAGCCCCGUGGCCCUGCACUUAACUCCACUGUGCAGGGGGGCAGAACGUUCAUGCAGGUCCGGCUCUCUCUCAGAUAUGGAAGGAUCGGCAGCACAAUAAAGACCUGCCUCCCACGAGAUGGGCCCUGCGCCGAGCUGCCUGGAUCCAGGGGAGACAUCGCUGUCCAGCAUUUCCAUCAGGGCUCCCCCGAGCCAGUCCCUGGGGCACACACAAAGCCCCAUUCAGGACGGCUGGAGCUUUGAGAGCAGGCAGAGGAGCUGGGGGCCCGGGAAGGGGGUGGAGGAGCAGCACAGAGCCUGGCACCAACCCGCCGCCGGCCCGCCUCGGGCGAGUGGGCGUGGAGGGCGCAGGUCCGCGGCCGUCCAUGCAGCACCCUUUGUCCUUCCGCAGAUUCCUUUCUCUGGUGGUCCAGGGCCCGGCGGCACCAGCUGCCACGGCUGGACCUGCGUGACCUCCCCGGAGGAGGCUGGGCACCCCCCACCCCCACCCCCCCUGAUGCCAGCCCCAGAAGCAGGGUAUCCAGUGGAAACAGAUCAUUGCUAACUGGCUUGCCAUUUCAAAAGCACUUCUGGGAAAACCGCCUCUGAGAGGUUCCCACCCUGGGUAUGUACUUGCUGUGGCACUGAAAAGAAGUCAAAUUAACCCACGGUUACCACCCUUUAUUCCUCAGGACCUAGGAAGCUGCUCCGUGUUCUUCAGCCUUGGCUUUCCCACCUGUACAAUGGAGCCUGGUAAAACAAUCUGCCGGAAUUCAAAGAGCAGCUGUUGUGAGCGUUUCCAGGUAGCAGUUCAUUCUCCCUGAGCAGGCAGGCAGGCAGGCCGGCCCCAGCCUUCCUCGCUGGGGCCUCCUGGAUGGUACAGAGAAUGCCCGGUCUAGAGUCCCCACGGACAGCCCCCAAAUAUGUCAAGUUUGAUGCAUCGAGGCCAUGCUCGCUCUGCAGUGUGCUGAAUUUUGGAGCAGGCUGCUCACGGGCCCAUGACCCUUGGAUGCAGAAGAAAAUAAGUCCCCUCCUUUACCUUUUUCCUCCUCAAAUGAUGAAAUGCUAUCCCGAU
This 5187-nucleotide long non-coding RNA is filed under the name Sus scrofa (pig). RNAcentral's name for it is "lncRNA (ENSSSCG00055027527.1)". The record is from RNAcentral. Lineage: Eukaryota; Metazoa; Chordata; Mammalia; Artiodactyla; Suidae.